ACAGCGCCUUCAAUCUUUUUUCUUAAUCACUGGGCUUAAAGCGCGUGUAGGCGGCUUAGAAAGUGUCGUGUGAAAUCCCGCGGCUCAACCGCGGAACUGCACGGCAAACUACUUGGCUUGAGGUCGGUAGAGGUGCCUGGAACUCUAGGUGGAGCGGUGAAAUGCGUAGAUAUCUAGAGGAACGCCAGAAGCGAAAGCGGGGCACUGGGCCGAUUCUGACGCUGAGACGCGAAAGCGUGGGGAGCAAACAG
RNAcentral lists this ribosomal RNA (251 nucleotides) under uncultured prokaryote. RNAcentral's name for it is "partial 16S rRNA". It matches the Rfam family "Bacterial small subunit ribosomal RNA", at positions 525 to 775 of the family's 1533-position model. The record is from RNAcentral.